Molecule: non-coding RNA, 69 nt
Organism: Rattus norvegicus (Norway rat)
Lineage: Eukaryota; Metazoa; Chordata; Mammalia; Rodentia; Muridae
Source: Rfam
GGGGAUUUGGCUCAGUGGUAGAGCGCUUGCCUAGCAAACACAAGGCCCUGGGUUCAGUCCCCAGCUCCG